Molecule: ribosomal RNA, 396 nt
Filed under: uncultured bacterium
Lineage: Bacteria
Description: partial 16S ribosomal RNA
Rfam family: Bacterial small subunit ribosomal RNA
Source: RNAcentral
AUACGUAGGUGGCGAGCGUUGUCCGGAAUUAUUGGGCGUAAAGAGCAUGUAGGCGGCUUAAUAAGUCGAGCGUGAAAAUGCGGGGCUCAACCCCGUAUGGCGCUGGAAACUGUUAGGCUUGAGUGCAGGAGAGGAAAGGGGAAUUCCCAGUGUAGCGGUGAAAUGCGUAGAUAUUGGGAGGAACACCAGUGGCGAAGGCGCCUUUCUGGACUGUGUCUGACGCUGAGAUGCGAAAGCCAGGGUAGCGAACGGGAUUAGAUACCCCGGUAGUCCUGGCCGUAAACGAUGGGUACUAGGUGUAGGAGGUAUCGACCCCUUCUGUGCCGGAGUUAACGCAAUAAGUACCCCGCCUGGGGAGUACGUCCGCAAGGAUGAAACUCAAAUGAAUUGACGGGG